AAAUCCCCGGGCUUAACCUGGGAAUGGCGCCUGUGACUGUAUAGCUAGAGUGUGUCAGAGGGGGGUAGAAUUCCACGUGUAGCAGUGAAAUGCGUAGAUAUGUGGAGGAAUACCAAUGGCGAAGGCAGCCCCCUGGGAUAACACUGACGCUCAUGCACGAAAGCGUGGGGAGCAAACAGGAUUAGAUACCCUGGUAGUCCACGCCCUAAACGAUGCUGACUAGUUGUUCGGGAUUUACAUCCUGAGUAACGUAGCUAACGCGUGAAGUCAGCCGCCUGGGGAGUACGGUCGCAAGAUUAAAGCUCAAAGGAAUUGACGGGGACCCGCGCAASUGUGAUGAUGUGGAUUAAUUC
This 353-nucleotide ribosomal RNA is filed under the name uncultured beta proteobacterium. RNAcentral describes it as "bacterial SSU rRNA". It matches the Rfam family "Bacterial small subunit ribosomal RNA", at positions 597 to 952 of the family's 1533-position model. The record is from RNAcentral. Lineage: Bacteria; Pseudomonadati; Pseudomonadota; Betaproteobacteria.